Molecule: ribosomal RNA, 180 nt
Filed under: uncultured bacterium
Lineage: Bacteria
Description: partial 16S ribosomal RNA
Rfam family: Bacterial small subunit ribosomal RNA
Source: RNAcentral
CCUACGGGAAUCUUCCGCAAUGGACGAAAGUCUGACGGAGCAACGCCGCGUGAGCGAUGAAGGCCUUCGGGUCGUAAAGCUCUGUUGUUAGGGAAGAACAAGUACCGGAGUAACUGCCGGUACCUUGACGGUACCUAACCAGAAAGCCACGGCUAACUACGUGCCAGCAAGCCGCGGUAA